Ostrinia nubilalis (European corn borer) is the source of this 2590-nucleotide long non-coding RNA. RefSeq lists it as uncharacterized. NCBI's taxonomy places the organism in Eukaryota, Metazoa, Arthropoda, Insecta, Lepidoptera, Crambidae. The record is from RefSeq and is a predicted model, not a curated record. The transcript has 5 exons.
GUAAUUUUUCAUAAUAACCGGUAAUACACAUAACAUAUUUUUUAUACAUUUUUGUUAGAAUCCAUUAUUUAUAAUGUUUAACUAUGUUAAGUUUUAAAUUAUUUUUCAUCAAAGUGUUAAGACCAAGUAAUUUGACUAAGUCAAACACAAAAGUGUUUCCUUAAAGAAAUCUUUCUUUAAUUAAUUACAUAAUAACAAUUGUUUCCACUGAUCCUUUAACAGUACAUGUCCUUUUAAUUUAUUCGAUGAAUACCUUAAUGGUUAUUUGAUUCUUAUCCAUAAUUUUCAGGUGUUCCACUGCAUCGCUUUCCUGACCCGGAAAAAAAUGCAGAAAAGUUUAACACCUGGAUUGCAAAUAUUGGUGGCGAUCUAGCUACAUUGGAUGCAACAACAAUUUAUAAUAAUAGACGUGUAUGUCGUAAUCAUUUCGAGGACGUUUAUAAAUAUCCUAAGAACCGACUCAGUCAAUUGGCAAUGCCAGUACUGCAUUUACCAGGUGUGCAAGCACAAAGGCUUAAAGAAAUUGAUCAUAUUUCUGGAAAAUUUGAUUUGCCAAAUUUUGGUGAUUCUCCAAUGAAUACAGAGCUGUCUGUUAACCCUGUAAUAGAAGAGGACCAACCACAAUCUCUUGUCGGAGUUAAUGUCACUGGAGAAGCUCCUCUCAAACAGACUCUUGGUGACACAAGACAAUGUAGAGCAGUCCAGAGAAGCUCAAAAUGUUAACAAAACUAACAAGAAGGCAAAAAAUAAAACCAAAAAAUCCAAAGGGCCUCGCCUAUCAUUCCUGCAAAUGAAGCAAUAUAAGCGUGCUUUGAAGCAGUUACAGAGAUGUGAAGAUGAGAAAAAGAAGUUGAAAUGCAAAUACGUAGCUGCCAAAAAACUCAUGAAAACGACAGCAUUUCAAAUAAUGUGCAAGAAUUUGUCACCGUCAGCAAAACUAUUUUGCCAAAUGCAAGUUACCCAAAGCGGGAAAAAAAAGCAAGGAAGGCGUUUUACAAUUGACGAAAAAAUUUUGGCAUUAUCUCUUUAUAAACCCUCGCCAAAGGCAUAUCGACUAUUAGGCACGAAGUGUAUUAUGCCGAGCAGAAAAACGCUGCAAAAUUUACUGCGCAAAAUUAAUUUAAGACCUGGAAUUAAUGAAAUUAUUUUUGAAAAUUUAAAAAACAGGGUUUCUAAGAUGCCUGAAAACCAUAAAUAUUGCUCUCUGUUGUUUGACGAAAUGGCGAUUGGACCAGGUGUUUCCUUUAACAAAACAGAAGACAAAUUAUCUGGAUUUGUUGACAAUGGCACAAGCACUGAAAAAGAUUUUUGCGACCAUGUGCUAGUUUUUAUGGUGCGAGGUAUAUUUAAAAAAUAUAAACAGCACUUGGCCUACUAUUUUUGCAGUGGAAGCACGAAAACGUUAGUAUUAAAAGAGCAAAUUGAAAAAUUAAUAAUUAAACUCCAAGAGACUGGCUUAAAAGUCGUGGCCACAGUGUGUGACCAAGGCACUUCAAAUGUGGCAGCCAUCAAUGCCCUAAUUAAACAAACUAAAGAAAGUUAUUUGAGAAAAAAUGAAAUUAAUUUAGAGGGGACAUUUGAAAUUGGAAAUGCUCAAAUUUUUCCCAUAUAUGACCCACCACACUUAAUCAAGGGUAUUAGGAACAAUUUAAUAACAAAAAACCUAAAAUACUCUUUGCAUGGGAAAGAACGCACUGCGAAAUGGAGCCAUAUUGUGGCAUUAUAUAAUAAGUCACCUGCAUAUCAAGGCGUAAAAUUAGUACCAAAAUUAACGGCUCAACAUGUUAUGCCCGACUUGAUACCUAAAAUGCGGGUGAAGAAUUGCACUCAGGUCUUCAGUAAAUCUGUUGGAGCAGCACUUGGAUUUAUGGCAGAACUUGGAGCUAUUGAAAAAGAAGCGACGGAUACUGCUGACCUUUUGAUGCUUUUCGACGACAUUUUUGACAGCGUGAAUGGGAGUUACAGCAAUAUAAAAGGCGGCAAAAUUUAUAGAGCAGCUGUAACUCCCACAUCACCACACCACAAGUUGUGGAACGAAAGUUUAAAAGUUUUGAAAAGUAUGAAAUUCGAAAAUGCUCAAAAUAAAGGUGUAGUGCCUUCUCUAUCCAGCUGGAUAAAAACGAUAGAGAACUUUAAAAACUUAGCAAAAUUUCUGCAAACAAAAGGAAUAACGUCUCUAUUGCUGCGAAACAUAAACCAAGAUCCAUUAGAGAAUUUCUUUGGCUCAGUACGUGCACAUGGUUGCAGUAAUAUUAUGCCAACGGCCUCUGCAUUUGAGAGUGCCUUCAAAACUUUGUUAAUCAAUAAUAUUUCGUCUCCACACUCAGUUGGCGCAAAUUGUGAAAAAGAUGACAGUUUUUGUCUCACCACGUUAAAAAAAUAUUUGUCAAUUGAAAAAAAAGACAAUGGCCCAACUGACUGUGAAAACGAAAUUGACAGUGCCCACAUAUGUAUGACACUCUUAAAUACAGAGGAUUUAUUAAAAAGCACACUGCCAAUACACAUGGUAAAGAGCGCAGCAAUAGGAUAUUGCAGUGGUUGGAUAGCACAACAAGCAAAGAAAAAUAUUUUUAAAAAUUGUAAAAUUUGC